This 372-nucleotide ribosomal RNA is filed under the name Cellulosimicrobium cellulans. RNAcentral describes it as "bacterial SSU rRNA". It matches the Rfam family "Bacterial small subunit ribosomal RNA", at positions 341 to 725 of the family's 1533-position model. Lineage: Bacteria; Bacillati; Actinomycetota; Actinomycetes; Micrococcales; Promicromonosporaceae. The record is from RNAcentral.
ACGGGAGGCAGCAGUGGGGAAUAUUGCACAAUGGGCGAAAGCCUGAUGCAGCGACGCCGCGUGAGGGAUGAAGGCCUUCGGGUUGUAAACCUCUUUCAGCAGGGAAGAAGCGCAAGUGACGGUACCUGCAGAAGAAGCGCCGGCUAACUACGUGCCAGCAGCCGCGGUAAUACGUAGGGCGCAAGCGUUGUCCGGAAUUAUUGGGCGUAAAGAGCUCGUAGGCGGUUUGUCGCGUCUGGUGUGAAAACUCGAGGCUCAACCUCGAGCUUGCAUCGGGUACGGGCAGACUAGAGUGCGGUAGGGGAGACUGGAAUUCCUGGUGUAGCGGUGGAAUGCGCAGAUAUCAGGAGGAACACCGAUGGCGAAGGCAGG